UGAUCCCCCCGGAGGUUACUGCUAUCGGUGUUCGCCUCCUUUAUGCGGGUCAUAUGUUCUUCGUGAACAUGGCGUACUGCUCAGUAACACGUGAAUAACCUGCCCUUGGGACCGGCAUAACCCCGGGAAACUGGGGAUAAUUCCGGAUACCGCAUAUAUGCUGGAAUGCUUUAUGCGUGAAAUGGAUUCUUCUGCCCAAGGAUGGAUCUGCGGCCUAUCAGGUAGUAGUGGGUGUAAUGUACCUACUACCCUACAACGGGUACGGGUUGUGAGAGCAAGACCCCGGAAAUGGAUUCUGAAACAUGAAUCCAGGCCCUACGGGGCGCA
This 327-nucleotide ribosomal RNA is filed under the name uncultured archaeon. RNAcentral describes it as "bacterial SSU rRNA". It matches the Rfam family "Archaeal small subunit ribosomal RNA", at positions 9 to 334 of the family's 1478-position model. The record is from RNAcentral.